Molecule: ribosomal RNA, 112 nt
Filed under: uncultured bacterium
Lineage: Bacteria
Description: partial 16S ribosomal RNA
Source: RNAcentral
CAACGCCGCGUGGGGGAUCGAAGGCUUUUCGGAGUGUAAACCCCUUUCGACCCGGAAGAAAGCCCGCAAGGGUUUGACGGGUUACCGGUAUAAGAAGCCCGACUACACGUGC